This 206-nucleotide ribosomal RNA is filed under the name uncultured bacterium. RNAcentral's name for it is "partial 16S ribosomal RNA". It matches the Rfam family "Bacterial small subunit ribosomal RNA", at positions 1287 to 1500 of the family's 1533-position model. The record is from RNAcentral.
CUCAGUUCGGAUCGGAGUCUGCAACCCGACUCCGUGAAGCUGGAUUCGCUAGUAAUCGCGCAUCAGCCAUGGCGCGGUGAAUACGUUCCCGGGCCUUGUACACACCGCCCGUCAAGCCAUGGAAGCCGGGGGUGCCUGAAGUGUGCAGCCGCAAGGAGCGCCCUAAGGUAAAACCGGUGACUGGGGCUAAGUCGUAACAAGGUACC